This 493-nucleotide long non-coding RNA is filed under the name Fukomys damarensis (Damara mole-rat). Its description in RNAcentral is "lncRNA (ENSFDAG00000032715.1)". Lineage: Eukaryota; Metazoa; Chordata; Mammalia; Rodentia; Bathyergidae. The record is from RNAcentral.
CACAGGUAUCUUUGUGUGGCUUUCCUUUUGUUUUCAUUAUUUGUAUGUUCUCCUUAGACAGCAAAAGUUCAUUAGGAUAGAGAAAAAUGAUUGCUUUAAUUACAUUUCUCUUAUGAUUCAGGAAGGCUUAAGUACAGAGAAAGGAUAUCUUGGAAAAGAGCAAAACUAUCUGGCAACCUGUUCUGGAAGGUUUCUCAGCAUGCCUAGACCCAGCUGUUUCCAAUCCUGUGAUUAUGUGCUUUACUUCUCCAUGUUAAACAUGAGGUAUUAAGAGGUACCCCCUUUCCUGAUUGGAUGACAGGCAUCCCCCAAACUUUCCCAGACAGCAUAAAACAUACAAUGAUGAGAAAGCAGAAAUCAUGUGGCAUCUGUAGGGACUGGUUAAUUAUGCUAGGAAGCUGGACUGGGGUGAUGGCAUGGACCCUAAAGUUCAUGUUUGAACUUCUUAGGAGACAAAACAAAAAAGGUAAAUCCAAUGGUUUAUCUAGUUAUG